AUAGUUACAUAACAAAACUAUUCGCCAGAGUACUACUCGCAACUGCCUAAAACUCAAAGGACUUGGCGGUGCUUCACAUCCACCUAGAGGAGCCUGUUCUAUAAUCGAUAAACCCCGAUAGACCUUACCAACCCUUGCCAAUUCAGCCUAUAUACCGCCAUCUUCAGCAAACCA
Molecule: ribosomal RNA, 174 nt
Filed under: Sus scrofa (pig)
Lineage: Eukaryota; Metazoa; Chordata; Mammalia; Artiodactyla; Suidae
Description: partial small subunit ribosomal RNA
Source: RNAcentral